This 504-nucleotide ribosomal RNA is filed under the name uncultured bacterium. RNAcentral describes it as "partial 16S ribosomal RNA". It matches the Rfam family "Bacterial small subunit ribosomal RNA", at positions 28 to 523 of the family's 1533-position model. The record is from RNAcentral.
GAUGAACGCUAGCGAUAGGCCUAACACAUGCAAGUCGAGGGGCAGCACAUGAGUAGCAAUACGAUGGUGGCGACCGGCGCACGGGUGAGUAACACGUAUGCAACCUACCUUUAACAGGGGAAUAACCCGUUGAAAAACGGACUAAUACUCCAUAACACAGGGGUCCCGCAUGGGAAUAUUUGUUAAAGAUUUAUCGGUGGAAGAUGGGCAUGCGUUCCAUUAGCUUGUUGGUGAGGUAACGGCUCACCAAGGCCACGAUGGACAGGGGAACUGAGAGGUUUAUCCCCCACACUGGAACUGAGACGCGGUCCAGACUCCUACGGGAGGCAGCAGUGAGGAAUAUUGGUCAAUGGAGGCAACUCUGAACCAGCCAAGUCGCGUGAAGGAUGAAGGUCUUAUGGAUUGUAAACUUCUUUUGCAAGGGAAUAAAGUGGGGGACGUGUCCUCCUUUGCAUGUACCUUGCGAAUAAGGAUCGGCUAACUCCGUGCCAGCCGCCGCGGUAA